UGGUUCAAGUCCCUCUAUCCC
RNAcentral lists this transfer RNA (21 nucleotides) under Cereus albicaulis. Its description in RNAcentral is "partial tRNA-Leu". The record is from RNAcentral. RNAcentral also lists the same sequence under 4 other names. Lineage: Eukaryota; Viridiplantae; Streptophyta; Magnoliopsida; Caryophyllales; Cactaceae.